RNA transcript from Cavia porcellus (domestic guinea pig), 5653 nucleotides. It is a transcript of the gene named histone H1.8-like, with no coding region annotated. The record is from RefSeq and is a predicted model, not a curated record. NCBI's taxonomy places the organism in Eukaryota, Metazoa, Chordata, Mammalia, Rodentia, Caviidae. The transcript has 7 exons.
GGAGGGGCCGGGAUGAGGGUGCGGGGCAGCGCGGAGGCGGCCGGCGUCGCCGCUUGUCCCUCCCGUCGGCUGUGGUGCUGUCAGCCGCAGAUGUUUUGGGCUCUGACUGUUGGGAAUGGGGAGUGGAAUAAAAGGCGUCUUUGCCUCCCAAAUUUCUUGCCGAGAAAAAAGGCAGGGUUGAAGAUGACAGAGGGUUGGGGGGGGGUCGCCUGGAAGAUGGUGGCAGAGUAAAUUGCAGCAACCCCCCCCCAACAACGUUUUUCUGGAAAUAAAAAUUAUUCUAGCUGAACCUUUAGAAGGAAAUCCCGCCUUGAAGAGAGACGCGGAGGGUCUUGUUCUUUUGAUUCUGGUUUGAUUGUAUAAUAAUGAUGAUAUAAUACUAAUGACGAGGACGACACUGCCUUUUAUUUUGACCCCAGUGCUGUCAAAGCGUAGUUACAGCUGGGGAUAAAGCCCUUGAAAAUCUGAUGUAUGAAGAAGGAAUACAGUUGCUCUAGGAAUGGUCUUUAUUUUAUGAAGAUAUGUAUUUUAGAAUUAAAAUUUGACAAAACGAGGCCUUUCUUCUUUUCCACUUUUCAGCCAAUGCUCAUAAAAUGGGGCUGGCUAUUGCUGCCUUGAAUAUGGAAAAAUAAAUGAUUUUACCCGGUAUAAUUCUAUGUAGUUAGUCAACCCUUUCUCUUUUCCUUUGACUUUCUCAACAGUUCUUAAAAUGAAGAAGUUGAAUUUCCGAAAAGUUUUGGAUGGCUUGACUGCCUCCUCACCGGGCAGUGGCAGCAGCAGCGGCAGUAACAGCGGUGGGACUGGUAGUGGUCCCUUGCAUCCAGGAGGGACAGCUGGAGUUCUGAGAGAGGAGAUUCAGGAAACCUUGACUUCAGAAUAUUUCCAGAUUUGUAAGGGAACAUCUAUACUUGUGUGAGCUGUUCAGUGAGAAUCUGUAACCCAAAGGACAGGCGGAGAGGUCAGCUAAGAAACAGCAGAAAACAGAAGACAAGACUGCAGUGAUAGACAAAGGUGGAUAUCAAGCCAAAUGCAACAGCACUGCAUGCUGUCGGGCAACAGCAAAGGAUCCCUGUGCAUGCAAAAAGAAAGUUGCACAAUAUGAAGGAAGCAGUAAAAAUGAAAUGAAGUAGAAGAGACAUGCAGAAAGAAAAAUGCUCUCGGAUAUGUCACAAUCAUCUUGAUUCUUUACCUGGAAAACCUGUAUUUUUUCCUUUGUAAUUAUCUAAUAUACUUUGUGUCAAAGAACAAGGACCUGAGUUCCACUUAAAGAAGAUGAAGAAGUUAACAGAUACCGUUCUCGGGUUUUAUCAUGAAAUUAGAAAUGAAAAUUUUCAGUUUCUAGUAGUCAUGAACAGAGAGCCUCAGGUAAGCCCGAGAGUGCAGGCAGACAGUCAGGAUGCUCCUGCGCAGGCUCCUCAGGUGCAGCUGUGCUGGUGGGAAAAAUCAUGCUGUUUAGCCUAACGAGGCAAAACAGAAUAAAGGCCAAGGUAAUUCAGUAGAGAGGGUCUUAAAUGCACAGCUGUAUCAGCUGCUGCCUCCUUCCCACCUGGUCUUCAUUUUUUCUCUGUGUAAUCUGUUUGCUUCCCUACUGGGCCUGCUAACAUUAUCUGAUUCCAGGCCAAACUGAUAAUAUUUGUUAUGAGGCCUGCCAAAAUUAAUAAAAUUUGAGUUCAUCAUCUUGGUGUUCCCUGAACUAAAGUUAACUACCUGUGUCAAAUCCUAAAGUCCACUUGUUACACCAGCAUCAGGCUAAGAUGUAAAUCUUCAUUUGAACUAAGGAACAGCUGCACUCCUCUUGAAACUCUACAUGCACAGAGAGAUGUUUGUUUGUAAGUGGAUACAAUAGACAGAGUGCCUAUUGGUGUUUUAAAAGCCAAAACCUGGAGUACUUUUCUGUUGACUUCACAUAUGGAGAAAAUUAUGGUGUAAAAUGUAGACAAGAAUAAAAUAAUACCAAGAUGAGUAAGUCCAUUAAAAAUGUAGAUGAGCAAAUGACUUUAGCGUUAUUAAUGCUGGUUGGGAAUUUGACUGGCCAAAUGAGCAUGUUUAUACUUGGGACCAAUUAAAAGGCUUACCAUUUUAAUCACUGGCAGAACUGGACAUUCAGUGUUUUCCUGGAUGACAAGAAUUUUCUUUUGUUGUUUUUUCAGUUUGGCUUUGUUUUGGUCUAGCAACUGCACCAGAGUGUCCUCAGUGUAGAGAAGAUAACAAUACACUACCACAGUGUUAGUAACAAUAUCUUGUUACUAACAUUUAGUAACAGUAUCUGAGAGUCUCUCUACAGCUUGAGGGCAAAACAUUGCUGCCAUUCCUACCCUGAGGAAAAUCUACAGUAACAGAAUGUUUCCAGAAGUAGAAAAAUCCUACCAGUCGGGAACCUCCACGUGGACCCGGCCUCUCAGCUUUUCCUGACUCCCCACCAGGGCAGCUGCUGUGUAGGCUCCGCUGUAACGUACCAACGGCACAGGUGGUGCAGUGCGUUGGGGCUGGACUCAUGGAGAAUGUUCUGGAGCUUCCCAAGAAGACCCCUCCAACAUUACUAGGCAAAAAGGUGGAUCAGGAAUACCCUCCUAAGCCCCGGGAACAGUUCCUCCUGAAAUAAUUAAAGAGACACACAUCUUUCAGCUCUGACUUUUUUUUAAUCAGCCUGAAAAGACCAGCUUUCAGAUUCCCAAAGAAAUUGCAAACACAUCUUUAAAAAAAAAUUAUGGGGAUCAAACUCAAAGACCCUCUACUUUGGCUUUCGCACACAUUUCAUUCCUGGAGAUGGUUAGAAUAUGGUGUUUCUAAAAUAGAAGGACUUAUCUUUCCUCCUCUGCUUUGCAACUAAGACUAGCUUUCUUUCAGCACCAAAUGACAGCUUUCUGCCUGGCCCUCAGAGGAACAUGGAGCAUUCGAGGAUAAGAAGGGAAGACAUUAGAGCACAGGCAAAGAGAUGAUGAUGCCACAGAAGAGAUACAAGAUGCACUUUUCAAAGAUACGGUGAAUAAAGCCAGUUUGGAUGAUUGAGCUCAUAAUUUUUAACUAAUGUCCACACUCAUAGUGUUUAAUUAGGCAGGGCCAGCAGAGCCCCCUGAGUAUGGAAAGCCAGCAGGCCGGAACUCAAACAGGGUCAUGGUGACCCAUUGCCACCCACAGUGCUGCGCAUGGUGCUGGAGGCCCUACAGGCAGGAGAGCAGCGCUGGGGCACCUCAGUGGCAGCCAUCAAGCUCUACAUCCUGCACAAGUACCCCACAGUCGAUGUCACCUGCUUCAAGUACCUACUGAAGCAGGCCCUUGCCACAGGCAUGAGCCGUGGCCUCCUUGCCAGGCCCAUCAACUCCAAGGCCAGGGGUGCCACUGGCAGCUUCAAGCUUGUCCCCAAGCAUCAGAAGAAGCCGCAGUGCAGCAGGAAAAGUACUCGGACAGGGCCUGCUGGCUCCAGCAAGAAAAAUAUUGCAGAACCAUGUGAAGCAAGAGCUUCCCGCAAACAGGGCAAAGCCCUAGAGACAGCCCCUCAGGGAGGCUGCAAGGCGAAAGGCACUGGGCCACAGCAGGUUGUAGCCAAGAAGGACCCCCCAAAGUCAACUGGGGCUUCCUCAACUGUCCACAAGCUUGGCAGGAAGCCCAAGGUCUCAGGCAACAGGAGCAGGCAAGAAGACACAGGAGCCCCUGGGAAAACUUCAACUGCAGCCUCCAAGCCUGGAAAAUGUGCUGCCUCCCUGAAGGGUACAAAACCCGCAGUGAAGGCCGCCCCAGGGCCUGGACCCAAAGUCAUUGCUGCCCCCAAAGCCGCCACUGCUUCCAAGGCUCGUGCCCCCAGGACCAGGACUCUGUCUCCAGCCAGGAAGGCUGGGGGCCACAAGAACCCCAGGCCACUGGUCAAGAGGUCAUAGUUAUUGUACUCAGAGCUCAGCAGCUAUAGGCCGGUGGGACUGUGGGUGGCUGGGCUGGAGUUUUUAUUCCUCCAAAUCGUUGCACUACUAAUUUAACCCUAACUUAUUUCUCAAAUCAUGACCUAGAUAUCAAUAAAGACACUGAUGUAUCACCAAAAAAAAAAAAAUUAACAUUACAAAAGUCACAUAUGUUAACUUAAAAUAAUAAAAUGAAUUUGGAAGUACACAUAUAAGACUGUAUUAACAUGCUCAGAUUCCAAAUAUUUUUCAUACAAAUUUUGAUAAGUUUGACAUGUAAAAUAGGAGUCUGCUAUCUCAUAUUUCAAGUUAUUUUUCCUCCACAAUAGUGAUCGUGGAUUUUAAAUCACAUCUAAGUCUAAUCUAUUAAUACCACCUGACAAGCUGAAUCAAUAUCACUACCGUUUUGUGACCCACAGUGAAUUGAUCUGCAACUGAUAACUCCCUGACUUUUGUGGCUCAGAAUGAUGCAAUUCCCCCAUGAAUUUUUCAUUCAUUCAUACCAAAAUGCAACACAAUACUUCCUAUAUUCCACUAAAUGAGAAACUUAGAUUCAACAUUCUAUUCUAACAAUCAGAAAAAAAAUAACUGAAGGAAGAGGACAAGCUCUAUCUGUUACCAGAUUGAGAACUGUAAAAGAAGUGAAAGCACAGGACAACGAAUUUGUCCUCAGCACACUUAGAGAGCCAGGUGAAUACAGACAACCCAGUGAGUUACUUCAGGAUCCUACAAAUGUGGCCAAAUGUCAGGCUAAGAAACUGUGAAUUGAAGUUGAAGAAUUUUUGGAAGUUCAGUGUCAUUCUGAGAAUUAAAAUACUCAAUGAGAUUUAGCCACAAUACUUUUGUGUUUUACCUAAACAAGUCUCACCUGGUUCCUAUAGUAAAUACAAGAGAGAAACUCUAUUGUAGAUUUAAAGAUAGAAAAAGAAUUAUUUUGACCAGCAUUUUCUGUACCCAACAAAGUUUUCUCAGUAUAAAUUAUUUUACAAAAACUGAACUGCUUGGGUUUUUUCAAAGCUUUACUGAUAUGACAUAAACAAAAUAUCUCCCUCCAAUCUUCCAUGUGACAAAAGAAAAAUACUGACCCUUGCUUUUGUUUUUAUUCUAGCCAUUUUAUUUCACUUCACGAAUCCAUGGUGGUGGUUAAGGACUUAUGUAAUGUAAAGGUUACAUGCAUAGCUUCACCAAAAGAUAAGCGAGAUAUAAGACUGUAAAGUGUUUUCCUUCCUGCCCCUGCCUAUAAGCCAUUCAGAGUGCAGGUGGGGAGAGCUGAGAUGGAAGCAAAGGCCCUGCCUGUGAGCCAGCUGGUGCAUGGGGUGGGGUGAGGAGUACAGCUUCCCCUAUGAGCAGCAAGCUGACUCGGAGGCACUGUUGUUUGACUGACUUAGCAAGCCUAAACCAAGCAACUAUUUACAGGACAACAGUAUGUAAUAUAGUAACUGUGGUACAUUUCCUACUGUCUUAUCACUGUUUAGAUGCAUUUUAUUGCUGUUUUAUUCCCCUUAAAUUUAAAGAUAAGGAAAAACUGAAGGAAUUAGUGGGAUCCAAAAUGUACAAUAGAUAUUGUGAAGGUGAAAGGGGAGGAAAUGUCUAAAAAGGGAAGGUGGUAGCUAUAGUUAAUUUCCUAUUAACUUGUUUUGAAGUUCUGCAUCAUUUUCAUUGUUUGGUUUGGUUUCAUUUUAUUCUGUUUGUUUUGUUAGAUUCUAUUGUGUCAGGUUGUAUGGGAAAUUAUUUCUACAAUAAAAAGAUAUAUUAUGGUA